AUUGAACGCUGGCGGCAGGCCUAACACAUGCAAGUCGAGCGGAUGAGUGGAGCUUGCUCCAUGAUUCAGCGGCGGACGGGUGAGUAAUGCCUAGGAAUCUGCCUGGUAGUGGGGGACAACGUUUCGAAAGGAACGCUAAUACCGCAUACGUCCUACGGGAGAAAGUGGGGGAUCUUCGGACCUCACGCUAUCAGAUGAGCCUAGGUCGGAUUAGCUAGUUGGUGAGGUAAAGGCUCACCAAGGCGACGAUCCGUGACUGGUCUGAGAGGAUGAUCAGUCACACUGGAACUGAGACACGGUCCAGACUCCUACGGGAGGCAGCAGUGGGGAAUAUUGGACAAUGGGCGAAAGCCUGAUCCAGCCAUGCCGCGUGUGUGAAGAAGGUCUUCGGAUUGUAAAGCACUUUAAGUUGGGAGGAAGGGCAGUAAGUUAAUACCUUGCUGUUUUGACGUUACCAACAGAAUAAGCACCGGCUAACUUCGUG
Molecule: ribosomal RNA, 484 nt
Filed under: uncultured bacterium
Lineage: Bacteria
Description: partial 16S ribosomal RNA
Rfam family: Bacterial small subunit ribosomal RNA
Source: RNAcentral